UUAAACAUACAUACUAAUAUAACACAACUGCGAACUUCGGAAUGAAUUGUUCACGGCCUCACUAUUGAUACCCUAAUUGCUGUACUACAUUGCAAUGGUGUUUAUAUAGUUGUUGCAAAAACUGUUACAGUAUCUGAUUAGGGCCGUAAGUAAUACAGGCCCUAUGCGAUGUUGAAACAUAGGGACAGGCCUAUGUCUUCAUGAAGAAACGUAUCAACGUUAUGUUUGUUCAAGUGUCCCUGGAAAAUGCUGAUCAUGGACUUUGGUUUUAUAUGCACUGCUGCUACAAACAAAGAAUAAGUAUUGUGUGCUUCAGCAACUCUAAAACAUCAGUCAAAUCUAACUCGUGACGCGAGGUAUAGCAGGGCCUACUGUAAUGUCAGAAGUCUGCAAAAAGUCUAACUGUAGAUGGGCGGAUAACAUGGACUUGAUGUUGUUAGAGAUGUGAUAAAAAGCAGACAGAAUGGCAAACUCAUUCACUUCCAGAGAUGUUCUUCUUCUUAUUGGAAUGCACGCAAUUGCUUUCAUUUCAAUUGGCAGCGCAAUUCCGUGUUUUAGUUUUUUCUUGGUCUCCAUCAAAGAAGAGUUCAACACAAGCGCAGGAUUGGUUGGAACAGUUAAUAGUUUGAGCAUUGGACUCACAGCAUUACUAGGUCCAGCAGCAACAACGAUGAGCAGAAAGUAUGGUUACAGAAUGACGAUUGUUGUCGGUGGGUUGUCUUUUUCGAUUGGAAUAAUGCUGAGUUCACAAGUUACACAUGUAUGGCAGCUUUUCUUCACCCACUCCAUCAUGACAGGUACGGUACAUUUGGUAUGAGGUAUAACCGUAUAUUAGUCGCCAAUAUUUGAUUGAAUAUAAACGCUAGCUUUUUAUGAGAGGUGCUAAUCAAAGAAUGGGCAUUUUAUAUAUGCAUAUUUUGCUAGAAAUUUCUUCAAUUAUUGCUUUGCCUCAAAACACCAGAAGAGUUUGUAAAUCAACCAUCAUUCAACAAAUAAUCGAUCUCAUCGAAAGUUAAUAAUUUUGUUUUUCUAAAUAAGCAGUUGAUUUUGUUAUAAUGUAGAAAAACCCUAAAGCUUUGUCCAGAUUAUCAAAUUGUCUUUACCAAAAAACUGUUGUAUGCCCAUAUAUAGCCAUGGUGUACCCAUAUAUGGUCAGGACAGGAUGUGAUGUCAUUAUGACUUUAUUACGGGAUGUCACACGUUUUUGUCAUAUGAAAUUUCAGUCCGGGUAGGGCUUAAGAACGUAUAUCAAUUAAAAUUGAAUUUUUAGUGUUUUGACAGAUUUUAUUAUAGACAGUAUAAUAUAAGGUUGUGAUUCAAUCAAUCAUCAAUGCAUGAAUGAAUUAUAUCUAAUUAGGCCUAAUUCCCCCGAGACCUAAUUUUGUCCAAACUUAUACACAUACAGAUAUAGGCAUAAUAAUAAUAAUACGACAAAUUCACUUUGUCACGGUAACAUGAAGUCAUGGUUCACUUGAAACUACCAAAACAAAUUCGAUUACUGAUGGCACAAUUUAAGAUAGCAACACAAUGGAAGUACAGCAAUUUGAUAUCGAACUUCAGAUAUGUGGUCAUCAGAAUGCGAUAACUAAACUUCAGAGAUACCAUUGUUUGUUUGAUACUCUGUACAAACAUUGAGCAACAUCAAACCAUAAUGAUAAUUUUAAUUGCUGCGAAGCAGCCAAUUCAUAUUCUCGACAGCAA
Long non-coding RNA from Anneissia japonica, 1701 nucleotides. RefSeq lists it as uncharacterized. The transcript is spliced from 3 exons. The record is from RefSeq and is a predicted model, not a curated record. NCBI's taxonomy places the organism in Eukaryota, Metazoa, Echinodermata, Crinoidea, Comatulida, Comatulidae.